UGAGUUUGAUCCUGGCUCAGGACGAACGCUGGCGGCGUGCCUAAUACAUGCAAGUCGAGCGAAUUGAUGGGAGCUUGCUCCCUGAGAUUAGCGGCGGACGGGUGAGUAACACGUGGGUAACCUGCCUGUAAGAUUGGGAUAACUCCGGGAAACCGGAGCUAAUACCGGAUAAUAUUUUGAACCGCAUGGUUCGAAAUUGAAAGAUGGCUUCUAGCUAUCACUUACAGAUGGACCCGCGGCGCAUUAGCUAGUUGGUGAGGUAAUGGCUCACCAAGGCAACGAUGCGUAGCCGACCUGAGAGGGUGAUCGGCCACACUGGGACUGAGACACGGCCCAGACUCCUACGGGAGGCAGCAGUAGGGAAUCUUCCGCAAUGGACGAAAGUCUGACGGAGCAACGCCGCGUGAACGAUGAAGGCCUUCGGGUCGUAAAGUUCUGUUGUUAGGGAAGAACAAGUACCA
RNAcentral lists this ribosomal RNA (461 nucleotides) under uncultured bacterium. Its description in RNAcentral is "bacterial SSU rRNA". It matches the Rfam family "Bacterial small subunit ribosomal RNA", at positions 1 to 458 of the family's 1533-position model. The record is from RNAcentral.